GCACAACAAAAAGUUCUCAAUGGCCCUUCAAUUGCUUGCUCCGUUUUCUAGUUGCUCUUUCCCUAAACAGCCACUAAGAAAUCACAACCCAUUCAUAUUAUCAAAAAAGGGGAAAAUUUCCAGCCCUCUUGGAUGCAUGGUUUGUCCAAAACUUGCCAAGAAAACUACUGUAAGACGAUCUGCAAAUUACCAGCCUCCCAUUUGGGAAUAUGAUUUUGUGCAGUCGCUGAAGAGUGAAUAUGGGGGACAUGUGUACACAAAACGGAUCAAUAAGCUGAAGGAAGAGGUGAGGGUGAUGCUUAAGCAAGCUGUGAAUCCUUUGGAUCAGCUCCAGCUAAUUGAUACCCUGCAAAGACUUGGAUUAGCUUAUCACUUUGAAGAUGAAAUAAAGAGAAUCUUGAUGAGCAUUUACACCCAUAAUAGCUAUGAUAAUACACGGAUGAGGGAGGAUUUGUAUGCUACAGCUCUUGAAUUUAGACUCCUGAGACAACAUGGAUAUAAAAUACCCCAAGAGAUCUUCAAUAGUUUCCGAGAUGAAGAGGGAAACUUCAAAAUGUACCUAUGUGAGGAUCGGGAGGCAAUGCUAUCUUUGUAUGAGGCAUCAUUCCUUUCAGAGGAAGGUGAAAGUAUCUUACAAUAUGCAAGAGAUUUUACAACCACUUCUCUAAAGAAGUAUGUUGAACAAAGUAAAGACCAAAACCUAUCCAUGUUAAUAAGUCAUGCACUGGAGCUCCCAUUUCACUGGAGGAUGCUACGGUUGGAGACCAGAUGGUUUAUAGAUGUAUAUGAGAGAAAACAAGACAUGAAUCCUCUUCUGCUAGAACUUGCUAAAUUGGAUUUCAACAGUGUACAAGCAACACACCAGGACGAUCUAAAAUACAUGUCAAGGUGGUGGAGAAAUACAGGUUUCGGAGAAAAAUUGGACUUUGCCAGAGAUAGGAUUAUGGAGAACUACUUAUGGACAAUUGGGGAGAUAUUCGAGCCGCAAUUCAGCAAUUGUAGGAGAAUGAGCACAAAGGUCCAUGCACUAAUAACAACAAUCGAUGAUAUAUAUGAUGUGUAUGGUACCUUGGAUGAGCUUGAGCUGUUCACUAAUGCUGUUCAAAGAUGGGAUGUUAAUGCAACAGAGCAGCUUCCAGACUAUAUGAAAUUAUGUUUCCUUUGUCUCCAUAACUCAAUAAAUGAAAUAGCUUUUGAUGUCCUUAGGGAGCAAGGAGUUCACAUCAUCCCCUACUUGAAGAAAGCCGUAAGUAUUGAUGAUGCUUCUGACUAAAUCAUUUUGAGUUGUGGAUUAAUUUAGUUUAUUCAUCAAAUUAAUGUAUAAAAGGGAUUUCGAGUCAGAAUAUAAUUAGAUCUAUGUAGGUUACGAGUCGUUUCGAAUGAAAUAUUAUUUUUUAAAAAAAUUAUUCAAUAUUAUAAGUUAUAUAUAUUUUCUCAUAAUUAUGUAAGUGAGGUUUAUUCUCCACGUUAUUAUAUUUUGUGAGAAAGGCAACAUUUUUUUUUUAAAGAAAAAUUUAAGGAAUGAAUGAAAAACCGAUCGGCUCUAUGAUCAAUCCCCUUGUCACUUCUCGCUCAGAUAGCAGCAGAAAUGGCCGAACCUAAUUGGCAAAGCUUUCGCGAGACGAGGGUUCAGUAUCCAGUAAUGCUGCUAUUGUUUACUUUUCUUAACCUAAAUUAGAUUACUAUUUUGAUUAUGGCCUGCUUUGAUUACUUCCAGCAAUGUUCAAAUUCUCUAUGCUUUCCUUAUUUUCUUUCAACCGUGAGACUGUAAUCAACUUUUCUUUUGCUACAUUACUAAGAAGCUUAACGGAAAUCGUGAACGAUAUAUACUACUGUGGGUUGGAUUUUUCAGUUGGCUUUUGUGUCUACUGUUGAAUUGGGUUAUGUUGAGUAUUAUUCUUUUCUUUUUGGAGUUUAUGCAAUAUUAGAAUUGAUUAAAUGCCUCCUGAAUUAAUCAAUUCUAGAGUUGUUGUUAGUUGCGUAUUUAUCUCCAUUUAGUUUGUGCUAAGCUAAGCUGAUUUCAAGUCACUGUGGUUAAGGAUUGUCAUGUGUAAUCACUUCAGAACUUGGUCUGACUAUAGAGAUUACACUUUAGGGUACUUGGUAGCAAUAUGCAGCUUUCCUCGCAUUAGUCAUUCUAGCUCUGCUUAGCUGGGAAGAUGGGUGAAUUAAAUGUUCAAAUUGUGAAUUCCUCAAAACAAUAUAUUAUUUUCUGGGGAAUUAUGCCCAAUUUCUUAUUUGUGAAGCAUGUUAAUAACUCACCAGUAAUUAGAUAAGCUUCUUUUUCAUUUCAUGGAAUGAUUUCAACCAAAACAUGCAAUUGCUUCAAUAUUAUCUUGUCUGGAUAAUUGUUAGGAAAUUAGAACCACUGCAUACAUGUAUUUUUGUAAUAUAGUUUGACCACAUGACAUUCUGGGGUUUUGCUAGGGACAGAUUAUUAAUUGAUCCAUUCUUGAUUCUGAAAGGUGUAUUUUCGUAGAUGCUAUGUUGCUUAUACUAUCGUGAUUCACUUGUAAAUUGAUUUCAUGUUCUUACGUUGCUGAUGUUCAGUCAAUUAGAUCAUGACUUCAAAUGCUUCUAGAAGUAACAUUAUUUGUUCAUCCUCAUUACUGUGGCAAUUAUUUCCAUUUUUUUUUUCCAUUUUUAUGCAUAUUUUUGGUGACAAGUAAAAGAUUAUGUUGUAGACUAAUAAUCUAGCAUUUUUAUAGUUGUUUGUGGACUAUGCAGUUCAUAUUUGGAUUUGUACAAGUUACUUAUUAUAUAUAUCAGAUUACAGUAUUUAUCUGGUCAUUGACUUACUCUUCUUUGUUGAAGUAUUGUUCUAGUUACCAGGAAAUAUGAACCCCACAACCACCACACCAACCGCCCCCGCCCCUCCCCGCCUCCCCCGGGCUCUCCCUCCUCCCUCCCUUCUUUCUCUUUCCUUUGGCAAUGCAUUGACAAUUUGUUUGAGAACUUAUACAGUGAAUUGAGAAGCUUAGUGAUGUAGACAUUUGCAUUUGGAGUGCCCUCAAAUCAUAGCUGAAGCACAUUGUCAAAGCCAAAAAUUGCCUAAUUACAUGGUCUUUUUCUCAAAAUUUUGGAUAAGUCACCAAAACUCAUGUCUGUUUGGCAUGUUAUGUUUGUAAUUUGAUUAUUCAUUUUACAAUUUGUUUUAGCAUCAUAUGGUAUUUCUCUUGAUAUUUUGCCAGUUGCACUCUUGUGGCAAAAUGUCACCUCAAAAAUGUUAUCUUUAAAAUUCAUUACCUCAGUGGAUUAUGCAAUUGAGAUGUGUGAUGAGGUGAAUGCAGAAGAAAUACCUUCUUGAAAUUAGAAACCCUCUGUGACGGACCCUCCAAAUGAUUCUCUGCUGUUGAAGGGUAAAUUAUUUCUUUUCUCUGAAGUUAUCGAUGCUUGUAUUAUGAGGUGAUAAGAAUUGGCUGCUUUUCUUUAGUUGGGUGGACAACUGUAAAAUAAAAUAAAAUAAAAAGAAUCAAACCGUAAGCAUCUAAACUGUUAGUACACUGCGGUCCAAGAAAUUUCGGUUUUGAAAGUGCUGACUCCAUCCAAUCUGAGUUUGAAAUCUAAUUUACAAACAUUUAUGAACCUAAUAACACUUUGAUGUCAAUAAUGGAUCUAUAGAGGACAUAUAUAUUGUACCAAAAGCAAUUUAGCAUGGUAAGAAAGAAAUUAAAAAUUUCACAAGCAUAAAUAUUAUCCCCAGUCCCACAAUAGAAAGGGAGAGAGAGUGACCUCUCUAAUACUUGUAUCCCUUAACAUACAAACUCUCAGAAGCCAACCCACCAGCACCUCCUCCAAUAUACUUUCCAAGAGUUGCCUCAGAAUUGGCCUUGCACCUCGCCAAGAAUGCUUCCUGAGCUUUCUCAACAUUCUCUUUCUUUCCAGCCCAUGUUUUCAGUGUGCUUUGUUGCAAAGCUCUACCGAAGGAGAAGGAUAAUGUCCAUGGCUUUAACACUGGAAGCUUGUUCAUUGCAUUAAGGUUCUGUGUUGCCUCCUCCUCACUUUGUCCACCGGACAAAAACACAAUGCCUGGAACGGCCGGUGGAACAGUUCGGCGUAGUGCAGUCACUGUGUACCCAGCAAUUACCUCUGCUGCUACCUUUGGACUAUCAGAACCAGGAGUAACCAUGUUAGGCUUAAGGAGUGUGCCUUCAAGAAGAACAUGUUGAUCAUUCAGUGCCUUAUAAACUGCUGCGAGAACAAUUUCAGUCACAUAAGCACACUUCUUGAUGUCAUGAGGACCAUCGGUCAAGACCUCUGGUUCGACUACGGGCACCAGCCCAUUCUCCUGACAAAUGAUGGCGUAACGAGCCAAGCCCUGUGCAUUCUGCUGGAUUGCCAAUUCAGAAGGCUCAGUGGGACAAAUCUUCAGGACAGCCCGCCACUUGGCAAAUCUAGCACCAGCCUUAUAGUACUGCUGGCAGCGAGCACCUAGCGAGUCAAAGCCUUGGGUUGUAGUUUCACCAUUAGUGCCUGCUAAUUCAACGGUGCCUUUGUCAACUUUGAUCCCGGGGACAACAUUGUUUUCCUGAAGAACUUCAACGAAUGGUUUCCCAUCAGAGGUUUUCUGGUAGAGGGUUUCUUCGAAUAGGAUAACACCUGAAAGGUAGGAGAGGGCAUUGGGGGAAGUGAAAAGGAGCUCGCGGAGGGCUUGGCGGUUGGACUCCACAUUCUCAACACUUAUGCUGGCGAGACGCUUGCCGAUGGUGCCUGUGCUCUCAUCUGCUGCCAAAAUGCCCUUCCCUGGAGUGGCAAUGUACUUGGCAGUCUUGAUCAGCUCAUCUGCAUAUUUUCCAACAAAGGCCGACAUGGCUAAAGCUUACGGGAGGGAUGUAUAUUAGAUAGAAGGAUGGAUAGACGAAAAUGGCAAAGCAAACCAACACAAAGUAUGGUUAUGUAAAAGAUAAGCUCCUACAGAAUAUGCCAGCAGAAUCCACCAAACACCACCUGUUAAUACGUGUCAGUAGAUAAGCCCAACACAGAUUAUCAUCCUUGGAUAGAGCAAUGAGUGACCGCUCCCAGAGCCAAGUGGCACUCUAUCUGUACUUUAUCCUUACUCAAAUCGCAGUGACCCUAUAACUAUUGUGUGGGAAAGCCAAUCCAUCCCUCAUCCACUUGCUCUCUACAAAUUCUGAAUGUCCAUGGCUGAACUGAACAAAAGGGCAAUUUUUGGACUCUACCAGCUCUAUUAGUCUCAGUCACUCCAACCAUAUAUCAACGUCCCUUUAAAUUCAAAUCACCUCUCUCAUUGGCGAAUUUCUUGAAUUCAUUCAUUUAAUGCAUGCAUUAUAGGGCCAAAGAAAAGGAUAAGGAGGAAUAAUGGAAUUACAAAAACCUGAAUGAAAGGAUCUCCAUGCUACAAUCAUAGCCAGAACCUUAAAGAGCAUAUAAAUUUAAUAUCAGAAGAUAUAUUUUUCAGAAGGGAAAGCUAUCAAAAUGUUUGAAGUUACUGCCUAUAAUUACUGAAAAUUAUUGCGUGGACCAUGUAUAAAAACUCAUAUGGCGUGAUUCCCACUUGUUUAGUGAAGCCCACCCAUGCGAGCAUUGGUAUACAUAUGCCGUUGGGAUGCAACAAAAGUCCAUAAUUACUUCCCCCUGAGCCAGCAGGAUAACAAAAGGAAAGCUUAUCUAUGUUGCUUUGGAGGCGGGAUUAUUUCACUGCCAACAAAUGGCAAUCAAACUCUCCUGCAGAACUAUAAUAGAACCAGGAGACGCAUGAUUACAAAACCCAAUGUAACAAAGUUUCAAAAACUUCACAUGAGAGGGCAAAUUAUAGGUUUAAUGAAGACAAAAUUUGUUAAAAACUAAAACAGAACUCAACAUAUAAAAAGAACAGCAUGUCUAGCUGAUUUCCUCCCCAACCACUCAUGGACAAUCGGCAACUCUCGAUCGAUCUUAUUGUGUAAAGGCCUCCACUGGUUGAUCAUCAUCUGUACCAAAAUAUCUAUCUCCAAAUUCUCCCAUGCCAGGAAUGACGCGAAAAUCUUCAUUCAAGCCAAUUUCAAUCUCAGACGUCACAAUCUUUAUCCUUGGGAACCUUUUGCAGACCACAUGAACUCCCUGAGGUGCAGAUAUCAGAUUAAGAAAUAUAAUGUUGAACUCAGGGACACCCUUGCUAAUCAGUAAAGAGAUAGCUUGAACAGCUGAGUUGCCUGAACAAAGGUACAAUAGUCAACUCCUGAAAGUUUAUAAUAUUUAUCUAUUUAAUUAGUUUCUAUCAAGUUCAAGUAUGAACUUGCAAUUAUAUUUUGAAGGGCUACUUUCAUAUGAGUUUUGUUUCAGUCGCAUCUUAAGAAAUUAGCUGCACAAAGAAGCAAGGUCAUUUCCAAAUUACAACAAUAUCCCAAUCUUUAAGGGUGCAUGAAUGCCAACUCCUACAUAUGUUACAAACAAGGGGAAAAUCAAAUAAUAUCAGACAGGAUAUGCAAUGUGGGAAAUUGGAAAAACCUAACCAGCCUUGGAUUUUAUAUCACUAAAACAAACAAACCUGUCCCUAGAAUGGGAUCCAAUAGCAACACGUGUCUCUUUGAGAUGUCUUGUGGUAAUUUCUCAUAGAUUAACUGCCAAAUUAUUGAAGGACCAAGAAAAUGAUCAGAAUUUAACAAAACAGAGACAUUCCCAAGGGACAUAAACAGACAUCCCCAAGGGACAUUCACUCGAGUAUAGAGGAAGAUGCCUCUACAAACCUGCUGACCGUUGUCACCUUCUCUAUGAAUAAGAAUCUUCCCAAUCUUUAUACCUUUACAACAUGCUCGCAAAGCAUUUUCCAUACUCUCACCACUGGGUUCAGUUUAGCAGGGCAUUAGCUAGUUGGUUGACAAGUAAUAAGCAAAAGCAGCAGGAAGAAUCUCACAUGUAAGAGAGACACACACAGAGUGAGAGAGAGAGAGAGA
Molecule: unclassified non-coding RNA, 6893 nt
Filed under: Hevea brasiliensis (rubber tree)
Lineage: Eukaryota; Viridiplantae; Streptophyta; Magnoliopsida; Malpighiales; Euphorbiaceae
Source: RNAcentral